UGGGGAAUAUUGCACAAUGGAGGGAACUCUGAUGCAGCGACGCCGCGUGAGUGAUGAAGGAAUUCGUUUCGUAAAACUCUGUUCUAUGGGAAGAUAAUGACGGUACCAUAAGAAAAAGCCCCGGCUAACUACGUGCCAGCAGCCGCGGUAAUACGUAGGGGGCUAGCGUUGUCCGGAAUCACUGGGCGUAAAGGGUUCGCAGGCGGAAAUGCAAGUCAGGUGUAAAAGGCAGUAGCUUAACUACUGUAAGCAUUUGAAACUGCAUAUCUUGAGAAGAGUAGAGGUAAGUGGAAUUUUUAGUGUAGCGGUGAAAUGCGUAGAUAUUAAAAAGAAUACCGGUGGCGAAGGCGACUUACUGGGCUCAUUCUGACGCUGAGGAACGAAAGCGUGGGUAGCAAACAGG
RNAcentral lists this ribosomal RNA (403 nucleotides) under Fusobacteriota bacterium. RNAcentral's name for it is "Fusobacteria bacterium partial 16S ribosomal RNA". It matches the Rfam family "Bacterial small subunit ribosomal RNA", at positions 355 to 776 of the family's 1533-position model. Lineage: Bacteria; Fusobacteriati; Fusobacteriota. The record is from RNAcentral.